CUCUGUUGGCUGUUGGUACUGCCAAGGGCCUCCAGUUUUGGCCCAAAAAAUCGUUUGAAGCAGCAUACAUUCAUAUAUACAAAUUUAAAGAGGAUGGGAAGGUCCUAGAGCUUUUGCAUAAGACACAGGUAGAUGGUGUGCCUCUUGCACUAUGUCAGUUCCAAGGUAGACUGCUGGCUGGUAUUGGGUCUGUCCUUAGGUUGUAUGAUUUGGGGAAGAAACGGCUGCUCCGAAAAUGUGAGAACAAGUUAUUCCCCAACUCGAUCACAGCUAUCCACACCUAUCGUGAUCGGAUUUAUGUUGGUGACAUGCAAGAGUCAUUCCACUACUGUAAGUAUAGGCGUGAUGAAAAUCAACUGUACAUAUUUGCUGAUGACACGGUCCCAAGAUGGCUAACUGCAGCACAGCAUGUAGAUUUUGACACUGUGGCAGGAGCUGAUAAGUUUGGGAAUAUCUACUUUGCGCGAUUAUCUCAGGACGUUUCAGAUGAGAUUGAAGAAGAUCCCACUGGUGGAAAAAUAAAAUGGGAGCAGGGGAAGCUGAAUGGAGCCCCAAAUAAGCUCGAGGAAAUAGUACAAUUUCAUGUUGGUGAUGUGGUCUCUUGCUUGCAAAAGGCGUCACUUAUUCCAGGAGGGGGUGAAUGUAUAAUCUACGGGACUGUAAUGGGGAGUGUUGGGGCAAUGCUUCCAUUUACCUCGAGGGAUGAUGUUGACUUCUUCUCACAUUUGGAGAUGCAUUUGAGGCAGGAGUUCCCACCGUUAUGUGGCAGGGAUCACAUGGCCUACAGAUCUGCCUACUUCCCUGUUAAGGAUGUAAUAGAUGGAGACUUAUGUGAACAAUUCCCAACCUUGCCCAUGGAUAUGCAGCGCAAAAUUGCAGAUGAAUUGGAUAGGACACCAGGCGAGAUUCUGAAAAAGCUUGAAGAAAUAAGAAACAAAAUUAUUUGAGAACAUGUUGAGACGAAGUCGUAUCCAAGCCAAGGGACACUCGCGUGGCAUUAGAAGGCAUGAUGUAGAGAGCUAUGGAUGUUCCAUUUGAUUUGAGUUUUUGUAGAUGCAAGGAAAAGAGACCAGCAUGCGCUCCAAGCUGUUGCUCACUAUAUAAGUAUUUGAAGAAACGAAGCAGAGUGAAUUAUCGCCCAGCUUCUCUGUUGUAAUUAUGCUGUAGCGUAGCCUAGUCUUUUCAAAUGAUUUUUUUAGCAAAUUGCCUGUUAACUGAAUUAUGUAUUUUCAGUUUGUGUCCAUGAAAAAAUGUAGUCACGAUGCAGAGAUUGUAU
RNAcentral lists this unclassified non-coding RNA (1276 nucleotides) under Hevea brasiliensis (rubber tree). Lineage: Eukaryota; Viridiplantae; Streptophyta; Magnoliopsida; Malpighiales; Euphorbiaceae. The record is from RNAcentral.